Molecule: ribosomal RNA, 455 nt
Filed under: uncultured Sulfuricurvum sp.
Lineage: Bacteria; Pseudomonadati; Campylobacterota; Epsilonproteobacteria; Campylobacterales; Sulfurimonadaceae
Description: bacterial SSU rRNA
Rfam family: Bacterial small subunit ribosomal RNA
Source: RNAcentral
GUAGGUGGAGCAUGUGGUUUAAUUCGAAGAUACACGAAGAACCUACCUGGCCUUGACAUGGUAGGAACCUUAAGAGAUUAGGGGUGCUAGCUUGCUAGAACCUACACACAGGUGCUGCACGGCUGUCGUCAGCUCGUGUCGUGAGAUGUUGGGUUAAGUCCCGCAACGAGCGCAACCCUCGUCCUUAGUUGCUAACAGUUCGGCUGAGCACUCUAGGGAGACUGCCUUCGCAAGGAGGAGGAAGGUGAGGACGACGUCAAGUCAUCAUGGCCCUUACGGCCAGGGCUACACACGUGCUACAAUGGGGCGUACAGAGAGCUGCGAUACCGCGAGGUGGAGCCAAUCUCUUAAAGCGUCUCUCAGUUCGGAUUGUUCUCUGCAACUCGAGAACAUGAAGCUGGAAUCACUAGUAAUCGCAGAUCAGCUAUGCUGCGGUGAAUACGUUCCCGGGUCUU